This 468-nucleotide ribosomal RNA is filed under the name uncultured bacterium. RNAcentral's name for it is "partial 16S ribosomal RNA". It matches the Rfam family "Bacterial small subunit ribosomal RNA", at positions 28 to 507 of the family's 1533-position model. The record is from RNAcentral.
GACGAACGCUGGCGGCGUGCUUAACACAUGCAAGUCGAACGGAAAGGCCCUGCUUUUGUGGGGUGCUCGAGUGGCGAACGGGUGAGUAACACGUGAGUAACCUGCCCUUGACUUUGGGAUAACUUCAGGAAACUGGGGCUAAUACCGGAUAGGAGCUCCUGCUGCAUGGUGGGGGUUGGAAAGUUUCGGCGGUUGGGGAUGGACUCGCGGCUUAUCAGCUUGUUGGUGGGGUAGUGGCUUACCAAGGCUUUGACGGGUAGCCGGCCUGAGAGGGUGACCGGCCACAUGGGGACUGCGGUACGGCCCAGACUCCAACGGGAGGCAGCAGUGGGGAAUAUUGCACAAUGGGCGGAAGCCUGAUGCAGCAACGCCGCGUGCGGGAUGACGGCCUUCGGGUUGUAAACCGCUGUCGCCUGUGACGAAGCGUGAGUGACGGUAAUGGGUAAAGAAGCACCGGCUAACUACGUG